GGGAUCAAUAUGUCGGUCGUGCCUUCGGUACGUACUGGUAUCAUUGGUUUCUCCUUUCUGACGAACUAUGAUGUCAUUAAUUUGGUGUUAUGAGGAGUUAGGACUGUUACUUUGAAAAAUUAGAGUGUUUAAAGCAGGCUUUUAGCUUGAAUACAUUAGCAUGGAAUAAUGAAAUAGGACGUUCGAACCUAUUUUUGUUGGUUUCUAGGAUCGACGUAAUGAUUAAUAGGGAUAAUUGGGC
This 241-nucleotide ribosomal RNA is filed under the name uncultured Glomeromycotina. RNAcentral's name for it is "partial 18S ribosomal RNA". It matches the Rfam family "Eukaryotic small subunit ribosomal RNA", at positions 659 to 887 of the family's 1831-position model. Lineage: Eukaryota; Fungi; Glomeromycota. The record is from RNAcentral.